Notechis scutatus (mainland tiger snake) is the source of this 676-nucleotide non-coding RNA. NCBI's taxonomy places the organism in Eukaryota, Metazoa, Chordata, Lepidosauria, Squamata, Elapidae. The record is from RefSeq and is a predicted model, not a curated record.
AUUCUACUUUUUCGAGUUUCACAUAUAACUGGCAAGUCUCAAAACAGUCAUUUCACCUGUAUCUCCAGUCUAAAAAAAAAUUCCCUGCUAUAUAAAAUUCCCAUGAACUAUAUAGCAAAUUAGUUGAAUAACCAGCUUUGUAAGCUAGAGACCACUGAAUAACAGCAAUCCCAUUACUGUUUCCAGAGAUAGUCUCACUUAGUCCCAGCGAUGCCAAUUUAUGCAUACUAUUUUGUCAUUUGCCCUCCUGAAGAUGCCUGUGACUAUCUGCUCCAAGCAAUCAAGAGAAAUAAAAUUAUUAGAGCAAACAUUUUGGCUAAAGUGUACUCACCACUGCUGAAACUGUACUAAGAUUGGUAUUGUACAUAAGCAAUCAUCUGUACAAAAAGAGAAGUGUACUCGGUUGCUGUGGUGCACUUCGUUAAAGGCACAAGAACAAGGUGUGAAGAUAAAGUGGGCAACCUUCAUGUGCAUCCAGGAAGACAAGGUCAAUCUCUGAUAAAUCAGAAUACCAUCUUUAACUACGUUCCUCAUUUUUACCAUAAGCUACAAAUAACACCAGUAAGAAUAGAAAAAACAGUACCAGUUCCAAAAUCUGGUGAAAAGAAGCAGCUCAAGCAAUAAUGAAAAACCAGCUUGGACCAAUUUUAUCUAGUGGCAUUGGAAAGUAAAAAAA